Molecule: ribosomal RNA, 506 nt
Filed under: uncultured bacterium
Lineage: Bacteria
Description: partial 16S ribosomal RNA
Rfam family: Bacterial small subunit ribosomal RNA
Source: RNAcentral
GAUGAACGCUAGCUACAGGCUUAACACAUGCAAGUCGAGGGGUAACGAGAGGGAAGCUUGCUUUCCUUGUCGACGACCGGCGCACGGGUGAGUAACGCGUAUCCAACCUGCCCCCAACUAGGGAAUAACCUUGCGAAAGUAAGACUACUACCCUAUACUUUCAUCAGAUGUCAUCUGACGAGGAAUAAAGAUUUAUCGGUUGUGGAUGGGGCUGCGUCUGAUCAGCUUGUUGGCGGGGUAACGGCCCACCAAGGCAACGAUCAGUAGGGGGUCUGAGAGGAAGGUCGCCCAGAUAGGAACUGAGACACGGUCCAGACUCCUCCGGGGGGGAGCAGUGAGGAAGAUUGGUCAAUGGGCGGAAGCCUGAACCAGCCGAGUAGCGUGCAGGAUGACGGCCCUAUGGGUUGUAAACUGCUUUUAUACAGGAAUAAAGUUAGCCACGUGUGGUUAUUUGUAGGUACUGUAUGAAUAAGGACCGGCUAAUUCCGUGCCAGCCGCCGCAGUAA